This 305-nucleotide ribosomal RNA is filed under the name uncultured bacterium. RNAcentral's name for it is "bacterial SSU rRNA". It matches the Rfam family "Bacterial small subunit ribosomal RNA", at positions 334 to 654 of the family's 1533-position model. The record is from RNAcentral.
ACAUCCUACGGGGCGCAGCAGUGGGGAAUAUUGGGCAAUGGGCGCAAGCCUGACCCAGCAACGCCGCGUGAAGGAAGAAGGCUUUCGGGUUGUAAACUUCUUUUGACAGGGAAGAGCAGAAGACGGUACCUGUCGAAUAAGCCACGGCUAACUACGUGCCAGCAGCCGCGGUAAUACGGAGGGUGCGAGCGUUAAUCGGAAUUACUGGGCGUAAAGCGCUCGUAGGCGGUAUGUCAAGUCCAGGGUGAAAUCCCAGCGCGCAACGUGGGAACAGCCUUUGAAACUGGCAAACUGGAGUGUGUGAG